UACGAAGGGUGCAAGCGUUACUCGGAAUUACUGGGCGUAAAGCGUGCGUAGGUGGUUUGUUAAGUCUGAUGUGAAAGCCCUGGGCUCAACCUGGGAAUUGCAUUGGAUACUGGCAGGCUAGAGUGCGGUAGAGGAUGGCGGAAUUCCCGGUGUAGCAGUGAAAUGCGUAGAGAUCGGGAGGAACAUCUGUGGCGAAGGCGGCCAUCUGGACCAGCACUGACGCUGAGGCGCGAAAGCCAGGGGAGCAAACGGG
RNAcentral lists this ribosomal RNA (253 nucleotides) under uncultured bacterium. RNAcentral describes it as "partial 16S ribosomal RNA". It matches the Rfam family "Bacterial small subunit ribosomal RNA", at positions 524 to 776 of the family's 1533-position model. The record is from RNAcentral.